GUCGAGGGGCAUCGGGAGGAAAGCUUGCUUUCCUUGCCGGCGACCGGCGCACGGGUGAGUAACACGUAUGCAACCUGCCCUCUUCAGGGGGACAACCUUCCGAAAGGGAGGCUAAUCCCGCGUAUAUCGGUUUCGGGCAUCCGAGAUCGAGGAAAGAUUCAUCGGAAGAGGAUGGGCAUGCGGCGCAUUAGCUAGACGGCGGGGUAACGGCCCACCGUGGCGACGAUGCGUAGGGGUUCUGAGAGGAAGGUCCCCCACACUGGUACUGAGACACGGACCAGACUCCUACGGGAGGCAGCAGUGAGGAAUAUUGGUCAAUGGGCGGGAGCCUGAACCAGCCAAGCCGCGUGAGGGAAGAAGGUACAGCGUAUCGUAAACCUCUUUUGUCAGGGAACAAAGGCGGGGACUAGUCCCCGGAUGAGGGUACCUGAAGAAAAAGCAUCGGCUAACUCCGUGCCAGCAGCCGCGGUAAUACGGAGGAUGCGAGCGUUAUCCGGAUUUAUUGGGUUUAAAGGGUGCGCAGGCGGCCUGUUAAGUCAGCGGUAAAAGCCCGGGGCUCAACCCCGGCGAGCCGUUGAAACUGGCGGGCUGGAGUUGGAGAGAAGUACGCGGAAUGCGCGGUGUAGCGGUGAAAUGCAUAGAUAUCACGCAGAACUCCGAUUGCGAAGGCAGCAUACCGGCGCCCUACUGACGCUGAGGCACGAAAGCGUGGGUAUCGAACAGGAUUAGAUACCCUGGUAGUCCACGCAGUAAACGAUGAAUGCUAACUGUCCGGUGCGAAUGAGCGCUGGGCGGUACAGCGAAAGCGUUAAGCAUUCCACCUGGGGAGUACGCC
Molecule: ribosomal RNA, 835 nt
Filed under: uncultured bacterium
Lineage: Bacteria
Description: bacterial SSU rRNA
Rfam family: Bacterial small subunit ribosomal RNA
Source: RNAcentral